UAGUUGGAAUUUCUCUGUGAUCAUUUUUAGUUUUUUCCUCUUAGUUUUAUCCUCCCAGUUCACAUUAAAACCACCCAUAAGUAAUGAUUCUUUGAGAUUGCACUCUUUCAAGACAUCUGUGAGUUGAUCAUAGAAAGUGUCAUCUACAGAAGGGGGCCUAUAGUCAUUUACCUUAAAAGACAUUUGCUGGGAUAACAUUAUUUUUAUCCCAACAAAUUCUAACGUGUUAGCCGCAUUAUAAACCACACGUUCACAUUUGAUGUUGUCUCUCACAUAAAAAAGCACCCCUCCUCCUCUUCCAUCAGGUCUGUCUCUUCUGAAACAUUGGUAUCUGGGCACCGUGAACACACUCGCAGGAGUAGUUUGUUUCAACCAUGUUUCAGUCAGACAGAGAAAGUCCAGAUUUGAGUCAGACACAAGAUGAGUUAGCUGAUUGCUCUUUGCAGUAAUGCUUCUGAUGUUAAAAUGUCCACCGUAUAGCCCCCUCAGUUUCAGCUUCAGGUCCCAUAAGACUUUUGCAUGAUUGACAGUUUGGAAGGUUUUGAAUAAUCUCUGCCUACACGGUUUCAACACACAGUGGUGUCAGCAGCCGGUUUUGUGAGAGAGACACUGGACCUAUCAAGGUUUCCACAGCCCAGUAGCAAAAAGUUAUUCAUUGAGACAUCAUGCCUCAUGUUAACAAAGUUUAGUCUGUUAAGGGAGAAGCCCUGCUCAGAAAGUUGCUGCUCAUUCAUCACUGGCACCAGAGGCCUCCCAGACACACUCAGCCACAAAUCAGCAUCAAAGUUCUGCAGCACUCCAGGGGUCACUGGUCCAGGAUUUAGCUGAACAUCUCCGGAGAGCAGGAUCAGCAUGAAGAGGAGACCUGCUAUUCUCUGAAAUGAGGUGGCAGAUGACCGGUCCACUGGAUCAGUGAUUCGCUCUGGUACCUGGGCUCAUCCGUGCUGCAGGACAGAGGAAUAGAUUGCAAAAUAUCCCAGUAAGUUAUGAUGAAAACUCACUGUAAGAGCGACUACUGGCCAUGAGCCAGCAUUUGUCCCAAGCUCAAUCACUAGGUGUCCCAAUGAGUACCAACAGUAGUCCAAAAAGCACUACCAUGAAACACAGCCCAGGUGUUUUUGCUGAUGAAACACUGCUUUGAACUUGACGCAGUUUUUCACAGGCAUGCUUUGUGGUACGAUAAACGGCCUUGGAUGACAAUCCUAUGUAGCAAUCUCAUCCAGGAUCCCAGUGGCCAAAGGGUAGAAGCUCUUCUUAAGACCCUCAGCACCGGCUCGGUGCACCUGGAACCUCCCCUCGACCUGCCCCUAACCGGGCAGUUAGGAACCCUAGAAGAAGGCCAUGAUCGUUUCCUUCGAUGUUGAGAUGGAUAUACAGAUGGUCUUACUUGAUGUUUAAUCUGAUGUUUACAUUUGAUAACCUGGACUGGCCUGGUAGCAGAGUUGGCAGGAGGUGAGCUGACCAUCUCCCCAUCCCGAUGAGUGACCCCCAGUCAUAUGCCAUCACUUCUUGAGUCCAGGGUGCAUGGAGAGGCUCCAGCAUGCGUGGAUUACAUUACCAGCAAGGGAAGGACCAGCACCAGCAGACCUGGAGAUUGCAGGUGAUUUAUAAAAAGAUGCUUCCCUGGUUCCACUCUAGCUGACUACACUGCUUGCUGUUUUGAUAGUUGUCUGCUCUGAUUUCACGCUCUCACUGAAACCUGGAUACACCCAGAAAACACUGCUACUCGAGCUGCACUCUCCACCAACCAUGCUUUCUCCCACACUGCUUGGGC
Molecule: long non-coding RNA, 1774 nt
Organism: Thunnus maccoyii (southern bluefin tuna)
Lineage: Eukaryota; Metazoa; Chordata; Actinopteri; Scombriformes; Scombridae
Exons: 3
Source: RefSeq, a predicted model, not a curated record